RNAcentral lists this ribosomal RNA (253 nucleotides) under uncultured bacterium. RNAcentral's name for it is "partial 16S ribosomal RNA". It matches the Rfam family "Bacterial small subunit ribosomal RNA", at positions 524 to 776 of the family's 1533-position model. The record is from RNAcentral.
UACAGAGGUCUCGAGCGUUAGGCGGAAUCACUGGGCUUAAAGCGUGUGUAGGCGGAUCGUUAAGUGCCUUGUGAAAUCCCACGGCUCAACCGUGGAACUGCUUGGCAUACUGGCGGUCUUGAGCCACUUAGGGGCUACCGGAACAAAUGGUGGAGCGGUGAAAUGCGUAGAUAUCAUUUGGAACGCCAAUGGUGAAAACAGGUAGCUGGGAGUGUGCUGACGCUGAGACACGAAAGCCAGGGGAGCAAACGGG